Molecule: ribosomal RNA, 527 nt
Filed under: uncultured bacterium
Lineage: Bacteria
Description: bacterial SSU rRNA
Rfam family: Bacterial small subunit ribosomal RNA
Source: RNAcentral
AAUAGAUACCCAGGUAGUCCACGCCGUAAACGUUGGGCGCUAGAUGUGGGGACCAUUCCACGGUUUCCGUGUCGCAGCUAACGCAUUAAGCGCCCCGCCUGGGGAGUACGGCCGCAAGGCUAAAACUCAAAGGAAUUGACGGGGGCCCGCACAAGCGGCGGAGCAUGCGGAUUAAUUCGAUGCAACGCGAAGAACCUUACCAAGGCUUGACAUAUACCUGAAAAGGCUGGAAACAGUCUCCCCGUAAGGCAGGUAUACAGGUGGUGCAUGGUUGUCGUCAGCUCGUGUCGUGAGAUGUUGGGUUAAGUCCCGCAACGAGCGCAACCCUCGUUCUAUGUUGCCAGCACGUCAUGGUGGGAACUCAUAGGAGACUGCCGGGGUCAACUCGGAGGAAGGUGGGGAUGACGUCAAAUCAUCAUGCCCCUUAUGUCUUGGGCUUCACGCAUGCUACAAUGGCCGGUACAAAGGGCUGCAAUACCGUAAGGUGGAGCGAAUCCCAAAAAGCCGGUCUCAGUUCGGAUUGAGGU